RNAcentral lists this ribosomal RNA (254 nucleotides) under uncultured bacterium. RNAcentral describes it as "partial 16S ribosomal RNA". It matches the Rfam family "Bacterial small subunit ribosomal RNA", at positions 57 to 305 of the family's 1533-position model. The record is from RNAcentral.
GCAAGUCGAGCGGCAGCGGGAAAGUAGCUUGCUACUUUUGCCGGCGAGCGGCGGACGGGUGAGUAAUGCCUGGGAAAUUGCCCAGUCGAGGGGGAUAACAGUUGGAAACGACUGCUAAUACCGCAUACGCCCUACGGGGGAAAGCAGGGGACCUUCGGGCCUCUCGCGUCAGGAUAUGCCUAGGUGGGAUUAGCUAGUUGGUGAGGUAAUGGCUCACCAAGGCGACGAUCCCUAGCUGGUCUGAGAGGAUGAUC